This 24-nucleotide non-coding RNA is filed under the name Gallus gallus (chicken). RNAcentral also lists the same sequence under 1 other name. Lineage: Eukaryota; Metazoa; Chordata; Aves; Galliformes; Phasianidae. The record is from RNAcentral.
AAAAUGACUCUCGGCAACGGAUAU